This 441-nucleotide ribosomal RNA is filed under the name uncultured bacterium. Its description in RNAcentral is "partial 16S ribosomal RNA". It matches the Rfam family "Bacterial small subunit ribosomal RNA", at positions 28 to 507 of the family's 1533-position model. The record is from RNAcentral.
GAUGAACGCUGGCGGCGUGCCUAACACAUGCAAGUCGAACGGGGAGUAGCAAUAUUCUUAGUGGCGAACGGGUGAGUAACGCGUUGGUACCUGCCCCGAAGCGGGGGAUAACGUACCGAAAGGUCUGCUAAUACCCCAUGCGCUCGGUAACGAGUAAAGGUGAAAACCACUUUGGGAGGGGCCUGGGUCCCCUCAGCUAGUUGGUAAGGUAACGGCUUACCAUGGCGAUGACGGGUAGGGGACCUGAGAGGGUGGCCCCCCACAAUGGAACUGAAGCACGGUCCAGACACCUACGGGUGGCAGCGGUAGGGAGUAUUAGUAAUGGGCGCAAGCCUGAGCCAGCAACGCCGCGUGUGCGAAGACGGCCUUCGGGUUGUAAAGCACUUUUGACUGGGACGGGGAAGGACGGUACCGGUCGAAUAAGCCUCGGCUAACUCCGUG